AACGAACGCUGGCGGCAGGCUUAACACAUGCAAGUCGAACGGGAUGCUUCGGCAUCCAGUGGCGGACGGGUGAGUAACGCGUGGGAACCUACCCCGAGGUGGGGAAUAACCGCUGGAAACGGCGGCUAAUACCGCAUGCUCCCUGCGGGGGAAAGGCUUCGGCCGCCCCGGGAGGGGCCCGCGUCCGAUUAGCUUGUUGGUGGGGUAAUGGCCUACCAAGGCUCCGAUCGGUAGCUGGUCUGAGAGGAUGAUCAGCCACACUGGGACUGAGAUACGGCCCAGACUCCUACGGGAGGCAGCAGUGGGGAAUAUUGGACAAUGGGGGAAACCCUGAUCCAGCCAUGCCGCGUGAGUGAAGAAGGCCUUAGGGUUGUAAAGCUCUUUCGCCUGUGACGAUGAUGACGGUAGCAGGAGAAGAAGCCCCGGCUAAUUCCGUGCCAGCAGCCGCGGUAAU
This 454-nucleotide ribosomal RNA is filed under the name uncultured bacterium. RNAcentral describes it as "bacterial SSU rRNA". It matches the Rfam family "Bacterial small subunit ribosomal RNA", at positions 28 to 524 of the family's 1533-position model. The record is from RNAcentral.